This 253-nucleotide ribosomal RNA is filed under the name uncultured bacterium. RNAcentral's name for it is "partial 16S ribosomal RNA". It matches the Rfam family "Bacterial small subunit ribosomal RNA", at positions 524 to 776 of the family's 1533-position model. The record is from RNAcentral.
UACGUAGGGGGCAAGCGUUGUCCGGAUUUAUUGGGCGUAAAGAGCGUGUAGGCGGCUAGGUAGGUCCGUCGUGAAAACUCGAGGCUCAACCUCGAGACGCCGAUGGAAACCAUCUAGCUAGAGUCCGGAAGAGGAGAGUGGAAUUCCUGGUGUAGCGGUGAAAUGCGCAGAUAUCAGGAAGAACACCCGUGGCUAAGGCGGCUCUCUAGUACGGUACUGACGCUGAGACGCGAAAGCGUGGGGAGCGAACAGG